RNAcentral lists this ribosomal RNA (253 nucleotides) under uncultured bacterium. RNAcentral's name for it is "partial 16S ribosomal RNA". It matches the Rfam family "Bacterial small subunit ribosomal RNA", at positions 524 to 776 of the family's 1533-position model. The record is from RNAcentral.
UACGUAGGGGCCUAGCGUUGUCCGGAUUUAUUGGGCGUAAAGGGCGCGUAGGCGGCUUGGCAAGUGGAAGGUGAAAUCCCUCGGCUUAACCGAGGAACUGCCCUCCAAACUGCUUUGCUUGAGGCCGGGAGAGGUGAGUGGAAUUCCCAGUGUAGCGGUGAAAUGCGUAGAUAUUGGGAGGAACACCAGUGGCGAAGGCGGCUCACUGGACCGGUUCUGACGCUGAGGCGCGAAAGCGUGGGGAGCAAACGGG